UUUGCUCAGCGGCCCUUCCAUGAUGGACGCCAUCUUGGGAGCCGCCAAUGACAACAAACGACCUGACGUCACUCGCCUAUAAGAUGGAGGAGCAAUCACUGACACACCAGACUGAAGGUUAGCAAGCAGACAGCAGGAGGGGGUCCACGGAGGAGCCCGUUACUGUUGGGAUUGAAGAAAUCCUUGUGGCUGCUGCAAAAAAAUCACAUGGACCUUUCCCAUCUGGAAACAAGAUGGAUGGAAAAGGCAGUGGAUGCAAUCUAAACAUAGACUGGAUUAUAGAGAAUUUCACCUCACUGCAAGAAAAUUUUAUGGAGACAAAAGGAUAAAGGAUGUGGAGAAGCAAUGGAGAGAAUUAUAUGAAGAAAUGGAAAAAAGGAAACAGGAAGAAUAGACUGAUAAUAAAAGGCAAAGAAGAGGAAGGGGAAGAUGACAUCUGAGGAACCAAAGAAAAGGAAGGCGAAGAGGAUUCUGCUGAGGAACCAGUAAUUGAUGGGCAGGUGGAGGGAGAUAAUGUGGCAAGGGCAUUUUGGGGUAAAAAUGAAGAAGUUGGGUUGAUCAGAAGGAUGAACUGUAACUGGGGGGAAAUUGUUAACACUCAGAGGCAAAUGAUGCUGCUUAGAAUAUUCAAGAAUUUGACAAAAUCUGGGGAGCUUGCUGAUUUUGAAUAAAUACUGAGUU
Long non-coding RNA from Condylura cristata (star-nosed mole), 681 nucleotides. RefSeq lists it as uncharacterized. NCBI's taxonomy places the organism in Eukaryota, Metazoa, Chordata, Mammalia, Eulipotyphla, Talpidae. The transcript has 5 exons. The record is from RefSeq and is a predicted model, not a curated record.